Molecule: long non-coding RNA, 377 nt
Filed under: Lathyrus oleraceus (garden pea)
Lineage: Eukaryota; Viridiplantae; Streptophyta; Magnoliopsida; Fabales; Fabaceae
Description: Pisum sativum (pea) long non-coding RNA (PSAT_LNC039671)
Source: RNAcentral
AAUUAACAUAAUGUUGGAUUAAAAUUAAAUAAAACUAAAUAAAUUAAACAAAAUAAAUUGUAUAAACUAAAUAAAUUGAAAUUAACUAAACUAAAUAAAAUAAAAUAAAUCCAGGAAGUGCAAAAGGAAUUGGGGGGACGUAACGGGGUCCAAAUGACCCAAAACUCUCAACACACACCAACGAGAGGUGUGUGGAGAAUAAAUGGAGGGUGUUACAAGGCCCAAUUGACCCAAAGUUAGACAACCCUAAUUAAUCUUUUAAAAUAAACUAAAAUGAUAAUUACAAAAAAAAAUAAAAAAAAAAUAAACCAAAAUUUAUAAACCGAAAAAGAAAAAGAGAAAAUACUAAUAAAACAAACGUGAACACAAUCAUCUUC